AUUGAACGCUGGCGGCAGGCCUAACACAUGCAAGUCGAGCGAGCGGCCGACGGGUGAGUAAUGUAUGGGGACUGCCCGAUCGAGGGGGAUAACUACUGGAAACGGUGGCUAAUACCGCAUACUAUCGGAUAACCCAUAUGGGAUUAGCUAGUGGGUGGGGUAAGGGCUCACCUAGGCGACGAUCUCGAGCUGGUCUGAGCGGAUGAUCAGCCCCACUGGGACUGAGACACGGCCCAGACUCCUACGGAGGCAGCAGUGGGGAAUAUUGCACAAGGGGCGCAAGCCUGAUGCAGCCAUGCCGCGUGUAUGAAGAAGGCCUUAGGGUUUUAAAGCACUUUCAGCGGGGAGGCGUUACCCGCAGAAGAAGCACCGGCUAACUUCGUGCCAGCAGCCGCGGUAAUAC
RNAcentral lists this ribosomal RNA (403 nucleotides) under uncultured bacterium. RNAcentral's name for it is "partial 16S ribosomal RNA". It matches the Rfam family "Bacterial small subunit ribosomal RNA", at positions 30 to 526 of the family's 1533-position model. The record is from RNAcentral.